GGACGAUUAGCUCAGCUGGUAGAGCAAUUGACUCUUAAUCAAUGGGCCCAGGGUUCGAGUCCCUGAUCGUCCACCA
RNAcentral lists this transfer RNA (76 nucleotides) under Clostridiales bacterium. Its description in RNAcentral is "tRNA-Lys". It matches the Rfam family "tRNA". From Rfam's summary of the family: Transfer RNA (tRNA) molecules are approximately 80 nucleotides in length. Their secondary structure includes four short double-helical elements and three loops (D, anti-codon, and T loops). Lineage: Bacteria; Bacillati; Bacillota; Clostridia; Eubacteriales. The record is from RNAcentral. RNAcentral also lists the same sequence under 1 other name.